RNAcentral lists this ribosomal RNA (821 nucleotides) under uncultured bacterium. Its description in RNAcentral is "bacterial SSU rRNA". It matches the Rfam family "Bacterial small subunit ribosomal RNA", at positions 338 to 1163 of the family's 1533-position model. The record is from RNAcentral.
UCUACGGGGGGCAGCAGUAAGGAAUAUUGGGCAAUGGACGCAAGUCUGACCCAGCCAUGCCGCGUGCAGGAAGACGGCCUUAUGGGUUGUAAACUGCUUUUAUCAGGGAAUAAUAGUUGGUAUGUAUACUGAUAUGCAAGUACCUGAUGAAUAAGCAUCGGCUAACUCCGUGCCAGCAGCCGCGGUAAUACGGAGGAUGCGAGCGUUAUCCGGAUUUAUUGGGUUUAAAGGGUGCGCAGGCGGGCUAAUCAGUCAGGGGUGAAAUUCCACGGCUCAACUGUGGGUGUGCCUUUGAUACUGUUAGUCUUGAAUUUAGUUGAAGUGGGCGGAAUGUAGCAUGUAGCGGUGAAAUGCAUAGAUAUGCUACAGAACACCGAUAGCGAAGGCAGCUCACUAAGUUAAUAUUGACGCUCAUGCACGAAAGCGUGGGGAUCAAACAGGAUUAGAUACCCUGGUAGUCCACGCUGUAAACGAUGAUCACUCGUUGCUGGCGAUAUACCGUUCAGUGGCUAAGCGAAAGUGAUAAGUGAUCCACCUGGGGAGUACGAUCGCAAGGUUGAAACUCAAAGGAAUUGACGGGGGCCCGCACAAGCGGUGGAGCAUGUGGUUUAAUUCGAUGAUACGCGAGGAACCUUACCUGGGCUCAAUGCAAUAUGCUUUAUGGUGAAAGCUAUAAUUCUUCGGACGUAUUGCAAGGUGCUGCAUGGUUGUCGUCAGCUCGUGCCGUGAGGUGUCGGGUUAAGUCCCAUAACGAGCGCAACCCCUAUCAUUAGUUGCCAUCAGGUCAAGCUGGGGACUCUAGUGAAACUGCCUACGCAAGU